GGCCUCUUUCCCAUGGGCUGUGUGGGCUCCGUUUUCUCCUCAGCCAAGACUGGAGGCCAAGAUCAGCCCUUGAGGGUCAUUGUGGGGACUGCCAGGAGCUGGGCAGCCUUGUUUUCCUACCUCAGACACUG
Molecule: small nucleolar RNA, 131 nt
Organism: Tupaia belangeri (northern tree shrew)
Lineage: Eukaryota; Metazoa; Chordata; Mammalia; Scandentia; Tupaiidae
Source: Ensembl